UAGGGAAUCUUCGGCAAUGGGGGGAACCCUGACCGAGCAACGCCGCGUGAGUGAAGAAGGUUUUCGGAUCGUAAAGCUCUGUUGUUAAGGAAGAAAGAGUGUGAGAAUGGAAAGUUCAUACUGUGACGGUACUUAACCAGAAAGGGACGGCUAACUACGUGCCAGCAGCCGCGGUAAUACGUAGGUCCCGAGCGUUGUCCGGAUUUAUUGGGCGUAAAGCGAGCGCAGGCGGUUAGAUAAGUCUGAAGUUAAAGGCAGUGGCUCAACCAUUGUAGGCUUUGGAAACUGUUUAACUUGAGUGCAGAAGGGGAGAGUGGAAUUCCAUGUGUAGCGGUGAAAUGCGUGGUUAUAUGGAGGAACACCGGUGGCGAAAGCGGCUCUCUGGUCUGUAACUGACGCUGAGGCUCGAAAGCGUGGGGAGCGAACAGG
RNAcentral lists this ribosomal RNA (429 nucleotides) under Bacteroidota bacterium. RNAcentral describes it as "Bacteroidetes bacterium partial 16S ribosomal RNA". It matches the Rfam family "Bacterial small subunit ribosomal RNA", at positions 355 to 776 of the family's 1533-position model. Lineage: Bacteria; Pseudomonadati; Bacteroidota. The record is from RNAcentral.